RNAcentral lists this unclassified non-coding RNA (265 nucleotides) under uncultured fungus. Its description in RNAcentral is "partial contains small subunit ribosomal RNA, internal transcribed spacer 1, and 5.8S ribosomal RNA". The stretch from base 1 to 73 matches the Rfam family "Eukaryotic small subunit ribosomal RNA", at positions 1759 to 1831 of the family's 1831-position model. The record is from RNAcentral. Lineage: Eukaryota; Fungi.
GCAAACUUGGUCAUUUAGAGGAAGUAAAAGUCGUAACAAGGUUUCCGUAGGUGAACCUGCGGAAGGAUCAUUAAAAAAAGUUGGCAAUCUACCACUACACAACACACCUUGUGAACUUUUGUAGGCUGAGCAAUCGGUCUAUGUUUUUUUUCUUCUUCAUUAUAUUAACGCGCAUUGUGUUUAUGUUUUGGAAUCAAUGAAUUGUUAUGGUGAUACAACUUUCAACAACGGAUCUCUUGGCUCUCGCAUCGAUGAAGAACGCAGC